RNAcentral lists this ribosomal RNA (484 nucleotides) under uncultured bacterium. RNAcentral's name for it is "partial 16S ribosomal RNA". It matches the Rfam family "Bacterial small subunit ribosomal RNA", at positions 30 to 507 of the family's 1533-position model. The record is from RNAcentral.
AUUGAACGCUGGCGGCAUGCUUUACACAUGCAAGUCGAACGGUAACAGGGAGCUUGCUCCGCUGACGAGUGGCGAACGGGUGAGUAAUAUAUCGGAACGUACCCAAGCGUGGGGGAUAACGUAGCGAAAGUUACGCUAAUACCGCAUACGAUCUAUGGAUGAAAGCAGGGGACCUUCGGGCCUUGUGCUCCUGGAGCGGCCGAUAUCUGAUUAGCUAGUUGGUGAGGUAAAGGCUCACCAAGGCGACGAUCAGUAGCUGGUCUGAGAGGACGACCAGCCACACUGGAACUGAGACACGGUCCAGACUCCUACGGGAGGCAGCAGUGGGGAAUUUUGGACAAUGGGCGCAAGCCUGAUCCAGCAAUGCCGCGUGAGUGAAGAAGGCCUUCGGGUUGUAAAGCUCUUUUGUCAGGGAAGAAACGGCUGUGGCUAAUAUCCACGGCUAAUGACGGUACCUGAAGAAUAAGCACCGGCUAACUACGUG